RNAcentral lists this ribosomal RNA (393 nucleotides) under uncultured bacterium. RNAcentral describes it as "bacterial SSU rRNA". It matches the Rfam family "Bacterial small subunit ribosomal RNA", at positions 505 to 898 of the family's 1533-position model. The record is from RNAcentral.
GUGCCAGCCGCCGCGGUAAAACGUAGGACGCAAGCGUUAUCCGGAGUUACUGGGCGUAAAGGGCAGGCAGGCGGGUCGAUAAGUCGGAUGUGAAAUCUCCCUGGCUUAACCGGGAGAGUGCAUUUGAGACUGUCAACCUGGAGGGCAGCAGAGGAGCGUGGAAUUCCGGGUGGAGUGGUGAAAUGCGUAGAGAUCCGGAGGAACACCAGAGGCGAAAGCGGCGCUCUGGGCUGCACCUGACGCUGAACUGCGAAAGCCAGGGGAGCGAACGGGAUUAGAAACCCCGGUAGUCCUGGCCGUAAACGAUGCCAACUGGGCGUUGGGGCGAACAGCCUCAGCGCCGGAGCGAACGCGGUAAGUUGGCCGCCUGGGGAGUACGACCGCAAGGUUAAA